This 469-nucleotide ribosomal RNA is filed under the name uncultured bacterium. RNAcentral's name for it is "partial 16S ribosomal RNA". It matches the Rfam family "Bacterial small subunit ribosomal RNA", at positions 28 to 507 of the family's 1533-position model. The record is from RNAcentral.
GACGAACGCUGGCGGCGUGCUUAACACAUGCAAGUCGAACGAUGAUCUCCCGCUUGCGGGGGUGAUUAGUGGCGAACGGGUGAGUAAUACGUGAGUAACCUGCCCUUGACUCUGGGAUAAGCCUGGUAAACCGGGUCUAAUACUGGAUACUACUUCCUGCCGCAUGGUGGGGGGUGGAAAGGGUUUUACUGGUUUUGGAUGGGCUCACGGCCUAUCAGCUUGUUGGUGGAGUAAUGGCUCACCAAGGCGACGACGGGUAGCCGGCCUGAGAGGGUGACCGGCCACACUGGGACUGAGACACGGCCCAGACUCCGACGGGAGGCAGCAGUGGGGAAUAUUGCACAAUGGGCGGAAGCCUGAUGCAGCGACGCCGCGUGAGGGAUGACGGCCUUCGGGUUGGAAACCUCUUUCAGCAGGGAAGAAGCCACAAGUGACGGUACCUGCAGAAGAAGCGCCGGCUAACUACGUG